RNAcentral lists this ribosomal RNA (554 nucleotides) under uncultured bacterium. RNAcentral describes it as "bacterial SSU rRNA". It matches the Rfam family "Bacterial small subunit ribosomal RNA", at positions 8 to 524 of the family's 1533-position model. The record is from RNAcentral.
AGAGUUUGAUCCUGGCUCAGAACGAACGCUGGCGGUGCGCCUAACACAUGCAAGUCGAACGGGGUUGCAGUGUGAAGUUUGCUUCGGCAGGUGGAACGCUGUAACUUAGUGGCGAACGGGUGAGUAACACAUAGGUAACCAACCCUUAGGAUCGGGAUACCCCCGAGAAAUCGGGCUCAAUACCGAAUAUUAUCCCAGGGAAAAAUCUUCUGGGAUGAAAGCUUCGAGCAAUCGUAGCACCUGAGGAUGGGCCUGUGGCCUAUCAGCUAGUUGGUGAGGUAACGGCCCACCAAGGCAAAGACGGGUAGCCGGACUGAGAGGUCGAACGGCCACACUGGAACUGAGACACGGUCCAGACUCCUACGGGAGGCAGCAGUGAGGAAUUUUGCGCAAUGGGGGAAACCCUGACGCAGCAACGCCGCGUGAGUGAUGAAGGCUUUCGGGUCGUAAAGCUCUGUCAAGUGGGAAGAACCUGCCCAGUGCUAAUAUCACAGGGCACUGACGGUACCACUGAAGGAAGCACCGGCUAACUCCGUGCCAGCAGCCGCGGUAAU